UGGGGAAUCUUGGACAAUGGGGGCAACCCUGAUCCAGCCAUGCCGCGUGAGUGAUGAAGGCCUUAGGGUCGUAAAGCUCUUUCGCCUGUGAAGAUAAUGACGGUAGCAGGUAAAGAAACCCCGGCUAACUCCGUGCCAGCAGCCGCGGUAAUACGGAGGGGGUUAGCGUUGUUCGGAAUUACUGGGCGUAAAGCGCACGUAGGCGGACCAGAAAGUUGGGGGUGAAAUCCCGGGGGCUCAACCCCGGAACUGCCUCCAAAACUAUUGGUCUAGAGUUCGAGAGAGGUGAGUGGAAUUCCAAGUGUAGAGGUGAAAUUCGUAGAUAUUUGGAGGAACACCAGUGGCGAAGGCGGCUCACUGGCUCGAUACUGACGCUGAGGUGCGAAAGUGUGGGGAGCAAACAGGAUUAGAUACCCUGGUAGUCCA
RNAcentral lists this ribosomal RNA (426 nucleotides) under uncultured bacterium. Its description in RNAcentral is "bacterial SSU rRNA". It matches the Rfam family "Bacterial small subunit ribosomal RNA", at positions 355 to 797 of the family's 1533-position model. The record is from RNAcentral.